GGCGAAACGACCUUUAUCCAAUCUUUGUAAUCCAGUCGAGAAGAGGGAAGAAGAGAAUAAGAGAGGAGCGAAGGGACAAGAGGAGUAAGGAGGAAGGCAGGAGGAUGAGAGGAAGGGUGAAGUGAGUUCCCAUUGGACAAACAGGAAGUGACGGUCGUCGGGGGAAACUGGCCGUCUAUAAUUAGGAGCUGGAGGAGACACGGAGACACCAGCGGCGGAGACAAAAGAAUUUUGGUUUAUAAAAAUCACGCCACGGGAAAACUCCAACGACGACGUCUGAUGAAAAGUGACGAGUUUGUGUUACGUCGGUGUUGGAGGGCGUCCAGGUGUUGGUGAACAGUAAUAAAUCAGAGUUGCUCUCACCCCUCUGAGGGACCAGCCGUCAGGAGAGAGAAGAGAGAAG
Long non-coding RNA from Acanthopagrus latus (yellowfin seabream), 403 nucleotides. RefSeq lists it as uncharacterized. The record is from RefSeq and is a predicted model, not a curated record. Lineage: Eukaryota; Metazoa; Chordata; Actinopteri; Spariformes; Sparidae. The transcript has 3 exons.